RNAcentral lists this ribosomal RNA (467 nucleotides) under uncultured bacterium. Its description in RNAcentral is "partial 16S ribosomal RNA". It matches the Rfam family "Bacterial small subunit ribosomal RNA", at positions 28 to 507 of the family's 1533-position model. The record is from RNAcentral.
GACGAACGCUGGCGGCGUGCUUAACACAUGCAAGUCGAACGGAAAGGCCUCUUUCGGGGGGUACUCGAGUGGCGAACGGGUGAGUAACACGUGAGUAACCUGCCCUUGACUUUGGGAUAACUUCGGGAAACUGGGGCUAAUACCGGAUAGGAGCUCCUGCUGCAUGGUGGGGGUUGGAAAGUUUCGGCGGUUGGGGAUGGACUCGCGGCUUAUCAGCUUGUUGGUGGGGUAGUGGCUUACCAAGGCUUUGACGGGUAGCCGGCCUGAGAGGGUGACCGGCCACAUUGGGACUGGGAUACGGCCCAGACUCCUACGGGAGGCAGCAGUGGGGAAUAUUGCACAAUGGGUGGAAGCCUGAUGCAGCAACGCCGUGUGCGGGAUGACGGCCUUCGGGUUGUAAACCGCUUUCGCUCAUGACGAAGCUUUGUGUGACGGUAGUGGGUAAAGAAGCACCGGCUAACUACGUG